Aquila chrysaetos chrysaetos is the source of this 3351-nucleotide long non-coding RNA. RefSeq lists it as uncharacterized. The record is from RefSeq and is a predicted model, not a curated record. The transcript has 3 exons. Lineage: Eukaryota; Metazoa; Chordata; Aves; Accipitriformes; Accipitridae.
GUUGGCGGCCGUUACCGCCCGCUACCGGGGGGCUGUGGAGAGCGGUUAAUCCGACGCUCCGACUGAGGAGCCGGCCGGUGCCCGGCGCGCCCUAUCCCAGGGGCGGAGUGCAGCACCCUCUGAAACGAACGCCUUUUAUCUUUAAAAUAAGUGCCUUAUUUACAGCCUGAGGUCUGCUUGAUUUCGUUUUUUGCCACGAGGCCGUGUCCGAUUGCUAGUGCAGCCCCCCCAGGAACAGAUCUCCGUAUGUAUACACAUACCUCUGUGCGCAUAUGUGCUCGUCAACGAAGCUCAGGUGAGCUCUCGACAGUCUUGACUUCAAACUGAGGAGAUGGAGUCCCUCGGCUCUGCGGUCGAUGAGCGUCUUUUCAGACCUUUAGCCCUUUCAAACGUGGCACACCAAAAACUCAAAAAACUGCUUAUUAAGGCUAGAUCCCAUGUAUGUUUCCAGGUGCACCCUGUUUACCCAGAGUUCCAAGUCACUUUGUAAGCGACUUCAGCCUCCAUUGUUUCCCACACCCACAGUUCUUGCAUCCUUUGCUGUUCUGACUUGGUGAUAAUUCGGUAUAGCUUCUUCAAGAUCACUGUUGCCAUGAUUUACUUCACUGUGGGAGCUGUGCUUACCUCAGUGAUGUCAGCAGAAAUGUGAUUGACAAACCGAGUGCAAAUGUCUGUUGGGACAGCAGGUCAAGCAAAGAGUAACUUUAUUUAACAGCUGAAGCAGGAGGUCACAUGCUAUUAACUAUCAACAGAUGUAACUUGAACAUCACAAGCAUGACAUACAGCUGGUUAAAGCAAGAAGUUGCAGAAGUCUCAACCUAAUGGAUGUGCCAGGCUCUGAAACUUAAGACAUAGUGGACAAAUCCUAAUGAGACAGUCACAGCAUCAUAACAAGAUACUGCUGGGCAGAUUCUUCUCUUGAAGGACGAUUAGAUUAAUAGCAUGUGCAUGUUUUGAAGUUGACAGCAAGAAUACAGGACCUGUUUUCUAGAAGAAGGCUGCUGACUCUGGUGUGGCUUCACCAUCCAGCGGUUUCACUCGUCAAGCUUGUUUACAUUCCUGCCUGUAUGUUCCAUUCCCUCCCAGUGAAAGUUUGCCACUCCCAAUGCUGCCGCUAAAAAACAGCGUCAGGUGGAGCUGUGGCCUGAGCCCCUGUAAGGAUCUGACUUAAAAACAGCAGUCAAAAAAAAGUCAUGUUUACCUGUAUCAUGUCAGGGAUCUAUUGACAGGGCAGCUUCACAAAUAGGCACCAUGUCAUUACUGGAGGAGCACCGAGCUGGAGUACAAAAUACAGAAACCCAAUGGCCAGGAGCAAAGGGAGACAGAAAUUUCUUAAGGCCAAACCAUCUUUGAAACCAUGCUGAUUACAAACAUGCUGCUUGAGUGCUAGAGUAGACAUUAAUGCCAGAAUGCAACUGGAAGGAACAAACUAUCUUCAGAUUUGUUCUAUCCAGUAUUAUCAGCGUGUUCUCCAAGAACAGGAUUUUCGCUUCCAGUAAGAAUCCAGAUGCUGAAAGGUACAGAGUGAUGAGAGAAGGAGCUCAGAGAUAUGGGACAAGAGAACUGAGCAGACUGAUGUGUGAUACUGUAAGUGGGAAGGAACUAGAGACAAUGAUCAACUGACUGUAGAAAUCAUGUCUAGUACACAGUGGUCACAUAAUAUUCUGUCUUUUGCUUUCAGCUGUUUUACUCAUACUGUUCUUCUCAUUACUAAGUAAAUCCUUCACUAGCCAGUGCAGACCAGCUGGGAUUUUCUUGUUGGUUUUAGGAAUGAAUGUUCCAACACUAGCAGCAAAUUUUUCUAAGUAAGAAGCACUUACUGGUAUGGCUCUUUCUGUCCGUACAACAAACCCUUGCUUUGACAGGUUUUAAUGCUCAGUAGUUAGACAUUGUUUAAAUUAAUCUGUUUACAAAAUCAAAAUUUGCCAAUAUAUCUUUUCCAAUAAGCCUCUUUUUAAGCUUCUCACUUGGGAUUAUUUAAGGAUGACGUUUGAGGCUUCUCAAAACCACAAAGAAUUACCACUUUUAGUGGCAUAGUGCCAGCUGUUAACACCUAGCUCAUAUAAAAUCAGGUGCAGUCACUAAGUUAGUAAUAAGAUUUAACUUCAAGGGGCUUUGACUUAAUACUUUAGUGCUGCUUUUAAUUUUUGUAUAUACAAAACCAAUAAAUUGUGGUUUUUUAGAGAAAGAGUGACAGGCAUUUUAGGAAGACCAGAGGCAGACAUGCAAAGGUGUUAUUCACAUUUGCUCAUUUCAAAAAGGUUUUCUUUAUUUCAAGUAUUUCCAGAUCCUGUCCUUUUCUCAUCUCCUGUGGAGUUCAAAUGAUUGCUAGUUCCCAAAAUCUUUGUAUUGUAAUAGCAUCUUCCUCCUCGUAUCUGAGUGAUACUGUUCAGUAGCAAGAAUCUGUAUUGGUUAUUUUAAUGUUAGAAUUGUAGUACUGAAAUCAUAAGGACAAAAGUAUCAGUUGAGGUGCUGUUGUAAUGAAGAUAUGCUUUCAUUUCUAGACAGGAGUCCAGUUCAACCAGCAUCACUAGGAAAAAUGUGCAGCUUUCUUAACAGAUGUUCAUUGAGUAAAAUGAGUCCCAUGGAGCCUUCACCAAAACUGUGGUAUUUUAGCAAAAUUUAAAAUGUUUAGUGCAGUGAAUUUUAUAUAAAUUCAGUUUUGAAAAGUCUUUAUUUCACUUCCUAAUGUAACAAAUGCUUUACUGUCUGUUCCUUGUAAAAUAUAUAAAUACUCAUCAACUCAUUAAAAAAAUAUAUAAAGCCAGAUGGUGCAAAGAAAAUGUUUCCAUGGAGUUGUAAUUUACAAUUUAAAUAGUGAUUAGAACAGUAUUCUUGUUGUCUAAUUAGAGAGUACUUGUGUUCAUUCAGAAGUGUGUGUAGAAUAAUGUUGAUUACUCUUGGUAGGUUUACACCCUCUCUUUAUGACCGAAGACCCACACAAAGAGAAUCAAAUAAUGAGUGGUGAUUUUAGAACAGUAAAUGUGAGGCAAAAAGCGCCAGAGAUUAGUCAGGGAGAAGAAUAUGAGGAUUCCAGGAACCAGUGGUCGUAUCAACUCAACAAAGGUGUGUGAGCAGGUGGGACAGGGGAAAAGAAAUUCUAGAAAUGUUUGGCAGCAGCCAUCUCUGAGCCUCUAUAAAGACUGUUGUAAAGGAAAUAAGGCUGCGUUUUCAAGUUACCUUGUUCCUGAGAAAUCAGCCAAGUGCAUUGCAAUGGCUGUUCUGCUCCAGGUGGCAGUUGCAUACCCUGCUUGUGCUGGAUGGUUUGUACUUCUGAUGGCAGCCAGGAGGUUGUGAUCACAGUGAACACCAGAAGGUUUUUAAGUUUGGCACAGAUGAUAAUACCUUCUA